Neopelma chrysocephalum (saffron-crested tyrant-manakin) is the source of this 464-nucleotide long non-coding RNA. RefSeq lists it as uncharacterized. The transcript has 3 exons. Lineage: Eukaryota; Metazoa; Chordata; Aves; Passeriformes; Pipridae. The record is from RefSeq and is a predicted model, not a curated record.
CUUGAGGCUUUACUCUGAGUCAUCUCUCCCUAAUGGCAAUUUUAAGGUCACUCCUGAACACGUAAAAGUUUGCCACACUGAAGAAAUGUGGACAUAUCCAUCUGCAAAAAGCCAGCUGUCCAGGAAGCAGUUCUAUUGUAAAGAGUCUACUCCUGCCUUUCAGGCAAAUAUGACCAGGGUUCUGGCUGACCAGCAGAGCUAUAAUCUUAUUCCAGCAACACCAAUAAGCAACUGGUACGUGACCAUGAGAACAGAACUUCAGUAUUGCAAGAUCAGAACACUGGCUAUCAGAAAGAUUAAUCACAAGGGCAUAUAUUGUUGCCUGAAUAUUUUAAAACCUGGCACAGAAACACCCUACCUUCCAAGAAAACUGCUUCUCAGAACAGCCAAGUAAAUCUCAGAUAAGCUAUCAACUUGACCCACCACUGAAACGUUAAUUUUUUCCAAAAUCAAAUUAAAUGAGU